Mesocricetus auratus (golden hamster) is the source of this 1789-nucleotide long non-coding RNA. RefSeq lists it as uncharacterized. The transcript is spliced from 3 exons. The record is from RefSeq and is a predicted model, not a curated record. NCBI's taxonomy places the organism in Eukaryota, Metazoa, Chordata, Mammalia, Rodentia, Cricetidae.
CAAAGGUCUUUAUUUUCCAUGUCUAUCCUUCCAGAAGAGGUAAAAGGAUCCCUUGUGACUAAGGAAGGAGCCAGAGGGGAACAUGCAGCUGAAACAGGGAAGAACUAAGAGACGAAACGCAGCCAUCAACAUCUGAUCACGCAGAGAGGCGGGAAAAGGAGACCAAGCAAAUGUCAUCAGGCUGACGCUUCUGUCUCUAGUGACCUUUGAAGAAGCGGUUUCUGCUGUGUGAUGGUGCAGGAUCCAGAUGGUAUGAAGCUGGAGGCUGAGUGGGCAGAGAGGAACAGAAGAAUCCCAGCAACCCGCGCUCAGAUAAGCCAGACAGUGAAGAAAACAUCAGGAGCGGGGCAAUGGAAGAAAUGCUAUGAGCAAUUUUGCCAAGCCACAUAUAGAUGCCCAAGCCCACUCCUAGCAGUCAUUCAAACAUUUUCAUCAUGACAUGAAAAGGGCACAUGCGCAAGAAGCCCCCGGGGAAGACAUCCGAGAAACGUGAGUGGAGGAAUCUACAGACUGCAAGAUCCUCUUCAAAGCAGCAGACUCCACUACAUCCCCUCCAUACUCGGAGAAGAAAACCAGCAUUGAUCCAGAGGAGCGAGCCAGCCCUGGUGAUGACUCAAAGGAAAGAAAGACCAUCGCUACAAUGAUCCAUCCAGAAAGUAACAUCCCUCUGCUAGCUCUUGAUCCCGAUGCUGAGCCGUAUAAUAGUUUGGUUGGAGUGCUAAGACAGAGCAUAUGAACAACCUCCCCUUCCCCUACAAUUUUCAAGAACCAUUUGAGGUUUUGAGGUGUCCUCCUCUUCUUUACGUCUCCCAAUAGAAGGCCCCAUCAAUGAGCAGGUUUCAUGAUGUUGUUGUUUAUACUGGAGUUUGAUUUCAACAUUUCUCCCUCUCUUCUUCCAAACACUACUGUAUAUCCCUAAACACUCCCUGAGCAGACUUAUGAAGUCACAGCUCACUAAUGGAGCUUUAGGACCACAGGGAAGAGCAGUAAAGCCGCAGAGAAAAGCAGAGGAGGUCAGAUCCAGGUGAGCCAGGCCUUCUUGUCUUGGGGUGAAGAGAGAAGAUGAGUGAUCAUCACUGAUGGGUGGAACUGUACACCAACACUGAGCCCACAGCCCAGACUGGUGGAAUGAGUGUGAUGCAUUUGCUCAUUCCAGAGCCUCAGUCCCCAUCCAUCCUCUCAACCUAGGACUCGCCCAACCACCACAGCAAGGUUUUGAUUUACCUCUCACAAUCACGGGUUAUACAGAAAGUAUAAGAUAGAAAUGUCACUCGGAUGUCCCUGGAUUUUCUGAAACUAGCCUUUACCUUGCCCACUAUGGAGACUGCAGUGUUCAGGGACAAUCUCAGACCAAACACCAUGCACUCAUAAGCGGGGCAUCCACCAGGGGAAAGACAUUGAAAGGGCCUACACAUUCUUCCUUUCACUGGUGAGUAAACAAACUCUCCCAGAGGCUAGAAGAGCUCUCAGGAUGUGAAGGACCAGUCCUGUUCUGCUGCAGGCCAAUAUGAUAUUGAGAUCUACACAGGAAGAGCACAGCUCAGAUACAUUGGAGUGAAUGUCCCAGGCAAAGGUCUUUAAAAGAUUUGGCUCUGUCUCAGAGAAUGACAGGGCUGUCAAAUUUUGUACACUUUCAGUUGGUCCCUUGUAGGUCAAGGGAGGUGAGCCUUCCUCAUUAUAAGCCUGCCUCCAGAAGUACCUUGGCCAAGGAAGGAUAAGGAUCCCUUGCCUGUUUUUUGUUUGUUUGUUUGAAUGUUUGAAAUCUUCUGUGGCCCCAAAUGGUAUUUGA